This 431-nucleotide ribosomal RNA is filed under the name uncultured bacterium. RNAcentral's name for it is "partial 16S ribosomal RNA". It matches the Rfam family "Bacterial small subunit ribosomal RNA", at positions 29 to 507 of the family's 1533-position model. The record is from RNAcentral.
AACGAACGCUGGCGGCAGGCCUAACACAUGCAAGUCGAGCGCCCCGCAAGGGGAGCGGCGGACGGGUGAGUAACGCGUGGGAACGUACCCUUUGCUACGUAAUAGCCUCGGGAAACUGGGAGUAAUACCGUAUGUGUCCUUCGGGAGAAAGAUUUAUCGGCAAGGGAUCGGCCCGCGUUGGAUUAGGUAGUUGGUGGGGUAAUGGCCUACCAAGCCGACGAUCCAUAGCUGGUUUGAGAGGAUGAUCAGCCACACUGGGACUGAGACACGGCCCAGACUCCUACGGGAGGCAGCAGUGGGGAAUCUUAGACAAUGGGCGCAAGCCUGAUCUAGCCAUGCCGCGUGAGCGAUGAAGGCCUUAGGGUUGUAAAGCUCUUUCAGGGGGGAAGAUAAUGACUGUACCCCCAGAAGAAGCCCCGGCUAACUCCGUG